UUCUAUUUACUUGGUAUCAGUACUGAAAUCUAGCACACACACACACACACGCACACACACGCGUGCGCACCGCUAUCCGCCCGCUAUCAGUCUUGAGCUCUGCUCAAGUACGUCCCCGAUGAAAUUCUCCAAACGUCUGUCUAAUCAACACAAGACAUCAGGCGACUAUUUAUAUGGUCAGCGACAGGCGCUUUCUCAGACACAACCUUUUUUUUUAAGCGGGCUAUACGCAUACCAACAAUCGGAGCACAUUUCUCCUCCCUUGCCAUGAGGGAUGAGCCUCUCGGGGAUCUCCGGGGGAGGCGCACACAAGCUGAUGUGCGGGGGUCACCCGCAUUUUCAAGAUCGGGAGAUGCCGAAGGAAAAUAAACCAACGCUCACUUCGCCGAGAACACAAAUGAAUGUAUUACCUUUCCAGCUAAAAAUGACAAGUCCUCUUCUCCGAGUAUGUGAAGGUCUUCUGUGGACUGAUCAUUCUGAGGAAAAGCCAGAAGGGCCUUUCCCGGACGCUCACCAGGUAGCUCUUGAGGCGGAUGAAGUGGACCCUCAUGGGGAUGGUGCGGUCCGAGCUGCAGCUGAGCGUCUUGAUCUUGUCCACGAGGUCGGCGCAGAACUGGUAGCCCCCUUUCAGCACGCACAGCACCGCGAUGUCGUGGUCCCCCAAGUCGUCCAUGAUGUCGUGAGCGAGACGUUCCGUUCUGGGAGGCAGGAUACAUUAAUAAAUAAAUAAAGCGUUGGGGUCGUCCUGUACAAGUGCCAUCUUUUCAGGCACAAAGUGAUUUUGCUGUAAAUUUGCCACAUUAGGCAAUAAUUGAGUACAGCUGAGGUCAUCCUCAUUUAAAUAAAGGGCGGGCUGCGAGAGGCCAACCGAACUCUG
Molecule: long non-coding RNA, 877 nt
Organism: Phyllopteryx taeniolatus (common seadragon)
Lineage: Eukaryota; Metazoa; Chordata; Actinopteri; Syngnathiformes; Syngnathidae
Exons: 3
Source: RefSeq, a predicted model, not a curated record